Molecule: long non-coding RNA, 1335 nt
Organism: Amblyraja radiata (thorny skate)
Lineage: Eukaryota; Metazoa; Chordata; Chondrichthyes; Rajiformes; Rajidae
Exons: 2
Source: RefSeq, a predicted model, not a curated record
UAUAUAUAUAUAUAUCAACUUUGAAUAAAUUGCACAGCUUCAACAUCAAGGUGGUAAAACUCCCUCUCGAAGGAGAUGGACAUUGCCUGGUAUUUUGUGGCAUGAAUGUUACUGCCACUUAUCUGCCCAAAUAUGAAUCUUGUCUAGCUCAUUGCUGGAUGCAGAUACGGUCUAUUUCAUUUGCUGUGAAAUUGCAAAUAGGUUUAAGCAAUCAUCAGCGAAUAACCCAGCCCCUGCCCACACAAAGGCGCUGAAUAAAGGCAUCAUAAGGUACUCACAGGCUGAUUCUUGGUUGGUGAACACAGACUGGUACUACUUUUCUGCAAAUGAUUGGUACACACUUUAAUUCGCUAAAUGAGAGUAAUGUGAUGGAUGCUGAAGAAUUUUGCCCUGGUCCUAGAACUGUGUGCAUUGGUAGGCACAGGGUGAACAGAGAUCAUCCUCAUCAGAAAAGUAUUCUGCAAAUUAGAAAGAAAAAAUAAGAUUCUCAGUUGAAAUGUGUAGUGAGAUCGUUUGUGAGAUGUGUCACUUGAUCCAGUCACAAAAGAUCAGGACACCCAGCUAGUGGCUGCCAGCUGUCUGUGGCCAUGAAUUUUCAUGCAUCAAGCUCCUUCAACAGUUUGCUGCUUAACAUUGGAAACAAGUACUUCAAUAACGGCCAACAGUAAACAUGAUGAAGUGUAUUUAUCUCUGUAAUUAAAAUGAUGAUUUGAGGGAACCUAAACAGAUGGCAACAUCUAUUUUCUGACUCACUCUGUUUGUCUCUGUGCCUCAAUUGGUAUGUGUACAAGAGUGGGAAUGCAUUGGUAUUAAUCAGUCAUUUACAUUUGUUUUUCUUACAUCUGGAUUUUGCAACAUCCCUGGAAACCUCUCUCAUGGUGGACAUCAUCCUAUGGCCGAGGUGUUAUUACGUCUGGUCCUAUGAUUGGGUAAUUUUAGACGAAGAGGGAAUGGGAUUUACAAUCCCAACAGUGUUAUCACUGAAUGCUUAUUCAGUUUUCGAGAUAAAGCAUGAAAACAGGUCCUUCGGCCCAGCGAGUCCGCGACGGCCAACAAUUACCCGUACCCUAGUUCUAUCCUACACACUAGAGACAAUUUACAGAAGUCAAUUAACCUACGCACAUCUUUGGAAUGUGGGAGGAAACCUGAGGACCCAGAGAAAACUCUUGCGGUCACAGAGGAAACCUACAAACUCCGUACGGACAGCACCCGAGGUCAGGAUCAAAUUCAGGUCUCUGGCGCUGUAAGGCAACAACUGUACUGCAGUGCCACUGUGCCGUCAGUGAAAGAUUAUUAUGUAUUCAGAUUAAAUAAAGGUAUAAUGGAAACAAUUAA